Molecule: ribosomal RNA, 495 nt
Filed under: uncultured bacterium
Lineage: Bacteria
Description: partial 16S ribosomal RNA
Rfam family: Bacterial small subunit ribosomal RNA
Source: RNAcentral
GAUGAACGCUGGCGGCGUGCCUAAUACAUGCAAGUCGAGCGAACAGACGAGGAGCUUGCUCCUCUGACGUUAGCGGCGGACGGGUGAGUAACCCGUGGAUAACCUCCCUUUAAGCCUGGGAUAACUUCGGAAAACGGGAGCUAAUACCGCAUAAAAUGUUUAACCCCAUGUUUAAAAGUUGAAAGACGGCCUUGCUUCACCUAAUGAUUGUCCCGCGGCGCAUUAGCGAGUUUGUUAGGGAAAGGCUUACCAAUGCAACGAUUCGUAGCCGACCUUAGAGGGUGAUCGGCCACACUGGAACAGAGACACGGUCCAGACUCCUACGGGAGGCAGCAAUAGGGAAUCUGCCGCAAUGGGCGAAAGCCUGACGGAGCAACGCCGCGUGAGUGAAGAAGGUCUGCGGAUCGUAAAACUCUGUUAUUAGGGAAGAACAAAUGUGUAAGUAACUAUGCACGUCUUGACGGUACCUAAUCAGAAAGCCACGGCUAACUACGU